GAGGCUACUUAAGAGCAGUGCAGGGACAGAGAGUUCAAUUAAAUUCAGUUCAGUUUGGUGUGGUCAGUUGAGUAUCACUGUGCGCAGUUCAGUUCAGAGGAGAGCAGUUGAGUUCAUUACUGCUCAGCUUGAAGAAGAGUUUGAGCCGGAGCAGCUGAGUUGAACCAGCCAGCCAGAGUUCAGAAAGAAGUAGAAAGACUGAGUUUAUUUACCAGUAAGUUUCAGAGGCUGAAACACUCUAGGCCUAGGUCAGCAAAUGGAGGCUGGAAGCUGAAGCCUUCAAGGUCCAGACUUGCAGAUCAGGAUGUACUGCCUCAGAUCCCCCGGUGUUCUGCAGACCUUUCCCUCUUGAAUCUAAACUGGAUCCUGAGUAAGCUUUUCCAUGGGAUCCUGACACGGUUUUAAAGGGGAAGUCUCAACAAGGACUUAGGAAAGUCAGGUAACAUCCACUGAGACAAGCUUGCUAAGUAAGCACUUUAGAGGCCAGGCGUCCUUCCUUCCGCGC
This 505-nucleotide long non-coding RNA is filed under the name Mus caroli (Ryukyu mouse). RNAcentral describes it as "lncRNA (MGP_CAROLIEiJ_G0004629.1)". The record is from RNAcentral. Lineage: Eukaryota; Metazoa; Chordata; Mammalia; Rodentia; Muridae.